This 514-nucleotide ribosomal RNA is filed under the name Procambarus toltecae. Its description in RNAcentral is "partial 16S ribosomal RNA". The record is from RNAcentral. Lineage: Eukaryota; Metazoa; Arthropoda; Malacostraca; Decapoda; Cambaridae.
CCACCGGUCUGGAACUCAAAUCAUGUAAAAUUUCUAAAGGUCGAACAGACCUUCCCCUUAUAAUCUCUACUUCAUAAAGAACUUUUAAUUCAACAUCGAGGUCGCAAACUUUCUUGUCGAUAAGAACUCUUAAAGAAAAUAACGCUGUUAUCCCUAAAGUAACUUAAUCUUUAAUCCCUUUUAGGAUCAUUAAAUCAAAUAUAACUGUAGAAAAAAAAAGACAGUUAUUUUAUAUUUUAUCCUUGUCACCCCAACCAAAUACUCCAAAGUAGCAUCAUUAAAUAAAACUAAUUUUCUACCUUAUAAAUAUAAAGUUUUAUAGGGUCUUAUCGUCCCUUCAAAUCAUUUAAGCCUUUUCACUUAAAAGUUAAAUUCAAUAUAUUAAUUUAAGACAGAUUAUUUCUUGUCCAACCAUUCAUUCUAGUCUUCAAUUAAAAAACUAAUGAUUAUGCUACCUUUGCACGGUCAUAAUACCGCGGCCUUUUAGUUCCCAAUGGGCAGGUCAGACCGUAUA